Molecule: ribosomal RNA, 1260 nt
Filed under: Triticum aestivum (bread wheat)
Lineage: Eukaryota; Viridiplantae; Streptophyta; Magnoliopsida; Poales; Poaceae
Description: partial small subunit ribosomal RNA
Source: RNAcentral
AUGAGGUGCCACAAGGCACGAAGGAACAAGAAGGGGAAAGGUGUUGCGCCUGUCGUUCCGGAACGAAAGAGAGGAAUCAUUCUCAAGACGGAAUGCCCUGUCCAGUGUAAGCUAAACGUAGAUGAAGCACAGUGGGUGGUCACUGAAUAUUUUGAUGAGCACAACCACAAACUCAUAAAGAAGUUCGACCUGGUGAAGUUUCUAACCGCCCACAGAGGAUUCACCCCCCUUGAAAAGAAAUUCAUAAAGCCGCUACAUGAUUGUAACGUCGGUCCAUCAAGAAUGGUGCAGAUACUAUCACUCAUCCACAACAAAAAUGGGACUCUGAGUAGCAUGCCCUACAUACCAGCUGACGUCACAAAUCUAAAGGCAAAAUAUCGUAGAGAGAGCAAGUUGGCUAACAUAGAAGCCACGAUGGCCUACUUCGAUGAGAAAGCGAAGGAAGAUCCAUAUUUCUUCUACAUGAUAAGAUUGGACGAUGAGGACUGUGUCAGGAACAUGUAUUGGGUGGAUGGUGUUGCAAGAAGAGCCUACAAACAUUUCCGAGAUUGCAUUUCAUUCGACGCGACGUAUCUCACUAAUACGUACAAGAUGCCAUGCGCUCCAUUCAUAGGAAUAAAUAACCACAACAUGGAUGGGUACGUUUGGCUGUUGAAGACCUUCUUAGAGUGCAUGGAUGGACUUGCUCCGAUGAACAUAAUAAUAGACCAGGAUUCUAGCAUGCGUGCAGGCAUAGAGGGGGUCUUUCCGUUGGCAGUGCACAGGCACUGCACGUGGCACAUUAUAAAUAAGGCUGAGGAGACGCUAGGACCGUUCUUUGCUACUAUGCAACACAGCGAGGGGUUCAAUGCUGUUUUGUUUGAACGAGACAACAUUGUGUGCUAUCACAUACUAAAAGUAAUGGACAUGAAUGCGGUGACACGGAUGCCCCGCCAUUUCAUAAGGCGGCGAUGGACUUGGGAUGCUGACGACGCCUUGGCGCCGCAGACAACAAACGCAAUUCUGGCUGUGCAUGACGAGAGACCGGAGUUAACCAUGGAAGCCGUGAGGCACGUUGUGCUGACAAAGAACUAUGCUGAGCUAAUUGAUGAAGCAUGCAAGAGUGAUGAGACAGCGAGAGUCACAGAAAAACACAGGAAGGCCCUGAAAAGAGAGCUUGAUGAGAUCAAGAAGAGGAAAGCUGAGGAAGCCUUGCACAGGUUCCCCCCACAUCAAGUGUGCCUUCGUCUACAGGGCCAUCAUCUGAAAACUCGGAGAUAG